Molecule: long non-coding RNA, 783 nt
Organism: Neopsephotus bourkii (Bourke's parrot)
Lineage: Eukaryota; Metazoa; Chordata; Aves; Psittaciformes; Psittacidae
Exons: 3
Source: RefSeq, a predicted model, not a curated record
AAGAGCUCGGAGAGCCGAGGCUUGUCUCGUAAGACGCGCCUAGUUCAAACUGUUUCCAGGGUAAUUCAAUCGAAGGUCAGCCAGCUGCCUCUGCUGGGAGCCAGCUCCGCUUGCUCUGCCAGUCGCACUGGUGCCCAAGGAGAUGCAGCUUCCUUCAGCCUUGGGUAGCAGCCCCAAGCUUAAGCAAAGCAGAGCAGAGAGAGGUGGUGACUUGAACCCCAGCAAAUUAUCUCAGAAGGGUGUCACUCAUUGUCGAGACUGCUCUGCCAGCAGCUACGCGACGCCUGGGGAUGCCAGCGCAAGAGAGAAAAUGACAUUUUCAGAAAGAUGUCAUUUCUUUUUCAACACUGCAAACAUCCACCCAUCUGUCACAAAUGCUUGUCGGCACUCCAGCAUCUCUGUAUCAGUCACACAAGGAGUACACCUCAGCACAAAGAAAUUUAUCAAGUUAAUGGUAUCAAUCAUACGCCAGUUUGCAUUAUUUAUGAGUGCCAGAGACAUCUUUUCACCCCUUACUAUCAGGUUUGGGUUUUUAUUUUAAACUUAUCUUAGAUAAAAGAGCGGGAGAAAACACAAGUGGGGAGAUAGGGCUGAAGUGACUCUGGAAGACCAAGCUAGCUUGCUGUCAGAUCACAGAAUCAGAGGUGGAAUGCUUAGAGCCACACAUAGCUAAUUGCUCCCCAGAUCAUUCCACAGACUGUUUUUGUCUGAAACUCAGGCUGGUACCUUUUGUCGGUAUUGGAAGAUGCUGAUCCCAUACAGAAGACGACACCAUGUGGUUUG